Molecule: long non-coding RNA, 1043 nt
Organism: Mytilus californianus (California mussel)
Lineage: Eukaryota; Metazoa; Mollusca; Bivalvia; Mytilida; Mytilidae
Exons: 3
Source: RefSeq, a predicted model, not a curated record
CGAUGUUAAGGCAAUUUCGAUAAGAUUUUGUCAGGGGCAGAUAACCCCGUAAGGACCUCAUUAUGUAUUCAUAUAUUCAUUAAUGGCGAAAAAUCCGUAAGCAGCGUCUAUCGAUGAAACGGUAUGAAAUCAAAUUACAUACAUGCCUGUCAACUAAAAACAGGUAUUCAUAUGAUGUAAUUUGUGUAUCGAAACACGAAUAUUGUAUGUUUGUGCUAUAAUUAUUAUGGCAAACAGUUGCAAUAGCUGUUUUUCUUGACGAGAUUGUCGGCUUUUGGACCCCGCCUCGUUUUGCAGAUUAACCAAUCAGUGAACGAUCGCCGUCAAAAAGAUGUUUGUAGUUUGCAGAAUGGAAAGAACCUUGCAGCGAAAAUUAUUUUCACUUCUACGUGAAAAUCUAACCAGAAAACUCACCUGUCAAUUACAAGAUACAGUAUGCCAUUCCAGCUUUGAUAAAUAUAAAGUAAUGGUUUGAAUUUGGAGAGCUUUAUUAUUAUAGACAGGGAUGAUGACCUGCAGUGAGACAGCAGUAGAAAGUUACUUAUAACUCAUCAUGGCCAUUAUGGAAGAUCUGAUUAAAAUUUGUUUAGAAAGCCACCAAAUAUGUCCAUGAAAAGUAGAAAAAAGACAGCAAUUCUACAUAAUGUACUAAGCAGAAGCAUUGACUGUUUCAAGACCAAAUGAAUUGGAAUUUAGUGUUUUGAUGCUGAGAGACAGAGGAAUAUUAACUGGACAAUUUAGCUUCUUUUUCAUCAUCAUUGAAGUUGAUGUUUACCAUCUUAAAGAGCUUUAACCUCAGUUAAAAUGAAUUCUAAAUAUAGGCAGUUUGGAGAUUUGUGAAUUUUCUUACAAUUGGAGUUUCAAAAAAGGAUUUCAUUUAAAAAAAAAUGUAUUUCACUGAUGUAAUUUGUCGUCUCUUUCAUGAAAUAUUUGAAAAAUCUGCAAUAUCUAACCAAGUGAGAGAUCUACAGAUCAUUUGCAGAUAGACAUAUAUAUGAUAUUCAGUUGAACUGUAAAAAGGAAAUAUUCAUUUAUAAGACUUA